This 400-nucleotide unclassified non-coding RNA is filed under the name uncultured fungus. RNAcentral describes it as "sequence contains ITS1". The stretch from base 1 to 105 matches the Rfam family "5.8S ribosomal RNA", at positions 50 to 154 of the family's 154-position model. The record is from RNAcentral. Lineage: Eukaryota; Fungi.
GAAUUGCGAAAAGUAAUGUGAAUUGCAGAAUUCCGUGAAUCAUCGAAUCUUUGAACGCAUAUUGCGCUCUCUGGCCCUCCAGAGAGCAUGCCUGUUUGAGCAUCAGUAACACCCUCACACCCCCUUGAGGCGGUGUGGUAUUGAACGUUCCAGUGUGCUCUAUAGCAAACACUGGUCGUUUGAAAUGUAGCGUGUGCUGUGUUUGUCACUGCUCUCGGCUAGGCGUACCAGUUCUCUUAGGGGAUCCACUAGCGCCGGUGCAUGCCUUGAGCCUCGUGCUGACUAACAGUCGCGUACAAUCGUACAGGACUCUCGGGUUCUACACACAUUUCCAAGCUGCGGCGCAGUAUGCAUCGCAACUUGAUCUUGAUCUCAAAUCAGGCAAGACUACCCGCUGAAU